GAAAAUAUAAAUUUAUCAUUAGCAGUAACAUGAAGCAUCAAGCAGAGAUAAGAGAAUGAGACUAUCAACGCCCCAUGCCUGAAGUUACUCGUGCAUUUUUCUUAAAAGAGUACGUCUUACAACAUAAUGUUACAGACAACCCAGCUACAUUCAAAUUCAUUUCCUAAUUCUGCUUUCGCUGCCCUUUCCGAUUCAACCCGCCAAAAUGCAGCAAUACUCAGUUUACAUAAAUACUACUUACCUUACUUUCCAACUUAAGCCACUAAAUAAUACAUUCCUGAUGUACUCUUCUCUUCUGAUUCUCAAAGCUUCCAUGGUGUCAGACUACUUGUGCGCCAUAAAAGGGCUAACAGAAUUUGCCCACAAUACAUGGAUGAAAAAGAAAAGCCUUCCAUUAAAUCUAAAUAGCAGUUGCAUAGAUGUAUAACCAAGUGGUUGAUCUCUAUUCCCUGCAGAAACCUUCUCUGCUUUUACAUCAGUAUCCUGAUUAAGGUUUAACAGCUCAGGCACCCAGAAUGCAUUUGAUAAAGAAACCAUCCAAAUCUACCUUCAACAGUUCAUCCGACAUUGGCGGUUGUGGAGAUUUUUAAAUUUUGUAAGUUCCUUCCUCCUCCUCCUUGCCUCUGCUGCAGCAGCUGCAUCCACUAGUUUCUUACUUGGGAAUUUAAAUGGAUCUUGAUUCUUUCCUGGAAAAGCACUUAUUAGUUGCCUAGAUUUUGUACAAAUGCCAUCAACAUGAGGAAAAAAUUCUGAUUGAAGCCCAUUCUCAUUUUUAACAGCAACAGAACCAACCAUUACUGGAGAAGUAGUUGUUUCUUUAGAGUGGGAUCCCAGACAUCGACCGCCUCCAUCUGGGGGAAAUCCUACUGGUGUCUCAUUAAGAUCAUUAAUAACCCUGACUUCUGUUGAGCCAGUAGCUUCUAAUUUAACUUUUUCAGGCAAAGGGGAAAGUUGGUUCACUGUAAGUGCAGCAGCUUUCGAAGAUGAACUACUACUACAUUGAUCAUUUACAAAAGUCCCAUCUUGUAUGUGUUUCAAGCCAAGGGAGGGUUGAGGGUGGCUUCCAUUCCCAUGAUCAGGAACUGGGAAAAACCACGGGCAUGACACAAUAUAUAAGGGAGUCCUUGGUCCAUUGACAAUCAUGGGGUUUUCCUGUUGCCGCUGAGCCGAAUCAAGCUCUCCAUUAGGUACCAUGGAAAUGGUUGAUGGAAUGACAAUGGCAUUUUGACGCCCAUUAUGUGAUUGGACAGGACUUGAAGACUGAAUCAUGGAAGGCCAGCAAAGCGGUGGAAAUGGAUGUUGGUUAUAGAACAGCAAUGGGCAGUUUGGAGCUGGGAUAGUAGGCUUCUCAACAUGGACUGACUUAAGAUCUCCUGAAGAUUCCUCCACCUCAGUUUUUAUUAAUUUGGCCAUCUGUGCCUUUAAGUGCUUAUUCUUGGAGUCCAAAGACUGAUACUCUUUCAAGGCCAAUUCUUUUUCCUUCUCAGCAGAAAUUUCACAAAAGAUGAAAAAGAUAAAGUUAGCAAUCCAAGAAUUUAUGUGCAAACAAAUGAAAAUAAAAGGUAAAUAACUUGGAAAUUAAAAUAGAAAAAAUGAAAAAAAAAAUGAAACCACUUGCAAAAUUCAGAAAUGUUUAAAACAUUGUAUGAAAAGAAAAAGAAAACUAUCUUGUUGGAAGAUGUCCACAAUUAUUGGGAACGCUGCUCACCCUGUUUAAGUUUUCAUUCACCCAUGCUAGAUCAGCAGCUUUUCCUGUUAACUCCUCACAUAGAGCCUGAAGGAAAAGAUGAUAGUGACACACACCAUGAUAGUGACACACACCACAAAAAGAUAUCUUCUUGUUAUAUUAACUAGAUUUUUACAUUAUUUUGCCUUCUUUUUAGGCAAAUCAGACUUUUAUAUUAUAGCUAACAUAUUUUCACACACUAGCAAGGCAAUAUGGUAAUAUUAAUCUCUGUAACACACGCAAGUCAUUACAUUUUGGUUAUAAAGUCUUUUUAUAUGAAAGAGCAAUCAACCACUUUUCUGCAUUAUUCCAAAAACUGAAAUAUUUGAUGCCAAUGUUCCUAAGAAACAUCAAUAGUUAAAAGUUCAACUAAACCAGAACAUCUACCAAAUCUAGCAAAAAAUAUUACCUGCCUACGUUGAAUAGUUUGUCUAGCUGACUCUCUGUUUGCCAAUAUCCUACGUAAUCUCCGUGCUUCCUUUUCAGCCUCAGUUAAAUUUUGUCUUGACCUGCUGCCACCAUAUGAUGAACGACUUUUCACACAACUAGGAAUUGGUUUAGUUGCAUCUGCAUCCAGCUCAGCCUUUGUAGGAUUUAUCACUACAUUUCUACAUAUUGAUUUACUCUGUUGGUGAUCCACAACUGCUUGAUCCGGAGCGAGAUCCGGGCAGCUGUGGACCGAGUCAGGAAAAGGGUUCGAAGCACAAUCAUCAGGCGACGACUCGCUCUUGACUCGCUUCUUACCUCGUUUUCCUUUGCCCCCCCAUUUACCGCCGGAAUCACCGCUUCCACAUUCUCUCAUAGCCAAAUGCGCUAAAUCCGCCAGCGCUUCCGCCGCCUCUAUCUCUAUCCGCACCAUCCGAUCCGCCGCCAUAGCAGACGAGGAACUCCCCGACGAAGAAGAAGAAGAAGAAUUCGAACUCGAAACAAUACAUGUAUCCACAUCCAUCUCCCAAAAAAAUAAAAGGAACAAAAUUAAAGAGAGAGAAAUCUCAUUUCCUGCGAGGAAGGGUAAGGCAGUGUUAGAGAGAGUGAGGGAGAGAAAGAGAAGUGGGUUACUACUGGUUAGCUAAGCCCACA
This 2806-nucleotide unclassified non-coding RNA is filed under the name Hevea brasiliensis (rubber tree). Lineage: Eukaryota; Viridiplantae; Streptophyta; Magnoliopsida; Malpighiales; Euphorbiaceae. The record is from RNAcentral.